AUACGGAGGAUGCAAGCGUUAUCCAGAUUUAUUGGGUUUAAAGGGUGCGUAGGUGGGAUAUUAAGUCAGCUGUGAAAGUUUGGGGCUCAACCUUAAAAUUGCAGUUGAUACUGGUUUCCUUGAGUACGGUACAGGUGGGCGGAAUUCGUGGUGUAGCGGUGAAAUGCUUAGAUAUCACGAAGAACUCCGAUCGCGAAGGCAGCUCACCGGGCCGGAACUGACACUGAUGCUCGAAAGUGCGGGUAUCAAACAGGAUUAGAUACCCUGGUAGUCCACACAGUAAACGAUGAAUACUCGCUUUUUGCGAUACACUGUAAGCGGCCAAGCGAAAGCGUUAAGUAUUCCACCUGGGGAGUACGCCGGCAACGGUGAAACUCAAAGGAAUUGGCGGGG
Molecule: ribosomal RNA, 393 nt
Filed under: uncultured bacterium
Lineage: Bacteria
Description: partial 16S ribosomal RNA
Rfam family: Bacterial small subunit ribosomal RNA
Source: RNAcentral